CUUUGAACUCGAGAUCCUCCUGCCUCAGCCUCCUGAGCCGCUGGGAUUUCAGGCCUUAUGGUGUGAGGAGCGAUGUCUGGGGUUGCAGCAACCUCCCUGAGUCAGUGAGGAUGAAGACAUGGAGACAACAGAGGCAGAUCAGAGCCUGACAGGGAGAGCCACUGAGCAGGUGCCCAGCAAGUGCCUGCCAAUGUGAGCUGGAGUUGGUCCUCAAGCCCAGACUCUGUGCUUGUCUACCCCCUUGGAUUCCCAGACUCAGUGACCUCAACAUCAAGGCCUCCCAGCCUCUGCGGAGGGCUUCCCUUCUGAUGCCAGAUGCAUGUUGGGGCCCCCCUGCCCGAUGCUGCCCCACUCCAUCGGAUUAUCCAGUUCUCGGGACACCAACUGAGUGUGCCACCAUUUAACUCAACCCUGACGCCAGCUGCCUGGAGUUAGCAUCAGAUCCAACAGCCUGAGGGCUCAGGAAUACAGUACU
This is a non-coding RNA of Ictidomys tridecemlineatus (thirteen-lined ground squirrel), 475 nucleotides long. NCBI's taxonomy places the organism in Eukaryota, Metazoa, Chordata, Mammalia, Rodentia, Sciuridae. The record is from RefSeq and is a predicted model, not a curated record.